CCUACGGGAGGCAGCAGUGGGGAAUAUUGCGCAAUGGGCGAAAGCCUGACGCAGCGACGCCGCGUGAGGGAUGAAGGUCUUCGGAUCGUAAACCUCUGUCAGCAGGGAAGAACGGUCACUGUGCUAAUCAGCAGUGAAUUGACGGUACCUGCAAAGGAAGCACCGGCUAACUCCGUGCCAGCAGCCGCGGUAAUCCGGAGGGUGCGAGCGUUAAUCGGAAUUACUGGGCGUAAAGCGCUCGUAGGCGGUAUGUCAAGUACAGGGUGAAAUCCCCGGGCUCAACGUGGGAACUGCCUUUGAAAAUGGCAAACUGGGGUGUGUGAGAGGAUAGUGGAAUUCCAGGUGUAGGAGUGAAAUCCGUAGAUAUCUGGAGGAACAUCAGUGGCGAAGGCGACUAUCUGGCACAUAACUGACGCUGAGGAGCGAAAGCGUGGGUAGCAAACAGGAUUAGAUACCCGUGUAGUC
RNAcentral lists this ribosomal RNA (465 nucleotides) under uncultured bacterium. RNAcentral's name for it is "partial 16S ribosomal RNA". It matches the Rfam family "Bacterial small subunit ribosomal RNA", at positions 338 to 795 of the family's 1533-position model. The record is from RNAcentral.